This is a non-coding RNA of Oryzias latipes (Japanese medaka), 2906 nucleotides long. The record is from RefSeq and is a predicted model, not a curated record. Lineage: Eukaryota; Metazoa; Chordata; Actinopteri; Beloniformes; Adrianichthyidae.
GUCUGAUCCUGGUCCGAUCCUGGUCCGAUCCUGGUCCGAUCCUGGUCUAAUCCUGGUCUAAUCCUGGUCUGAUCCUGGUCCAAUACUGGUCCAAAACUGGUCUGAUCCUGGUCUGAUCCUGGUCUGAUCUUGGUCCGAUCCUGCUCUGAUCUUGGUCCGAUCCUGGUCUGAUCUUGGUCUGAUCUUGGUCUGAUCCUGGUCUGAUCUUGGUCCGAUCCUGGUCUGAUCCUGGUCUGAUCUUGGUCCGAUCCUGGUCCAAUCCUGGUCCGAUCCUGGUCUGAUCUUGGUCUGAUCUUGGUCUGAUCCCGGUCCGAUCCUGGUCUGAUCCUGGUCCGAACUGCUUUCCUCUGAUGGUCUUCCUGGUUCUGCAGUGGUGAAAGCUCACCUUAACAGCACUGCAAAAACAGAAAUCCAUCCAAAACUAUGGCCCCAUCUGCAGAUUUUCUUUAAAUAAAAGCCUAGAAAAUCUUCUUUUAUGAAAAUAAAUCUAAUCACUAAAAUCGGUUUUCUUCUUGACAAGAUUAUUUUUCUUGCAAGACCCACUUGAAAUAAGAAUCUCUUCAUUCAGCUUUUGCAGCCAGAACAUUGUUUUCUUGCAGAUGAACUCACUUCAGUGUGAAUGCAGAUGGACUUUCCAAACGGAGGACGUGCUGUGACCCCCGAACUGGAGUAAAAGGCCGUUCACGUUGUAACCUGACAGAAGCUGGACGAGCCGACCGUGGCACCCAGGAGGAGAACCGGACCGGAUGGACCGGGACCUUCAUCCAUCAGAAGUUUCUGUACUACAAGAUGAUUCAUGAGCAGAAAAACAGAACUGGGGAGGGAACAUUUCAAAGAGGGGGGUCCCAGGUCAGGGCCCUGUUGCACCCCGUGAGGAUGAAGAGGAGCCGUUUGUCCUCCUCAUGACGGCUGGAGGAGCUGAGUGAGUUUCUUCCAGAGGACGGGCGCCGUUGGUGGUCAGAAGGUAACAGACGCUUUGAUGCUGAUAAAAACCAGGAGCUCAUUGGAAGGUCAAAUGGUCACAUGUUUAUGGACUUACAGUAAAGUUUCACACGUUUCAAACUGAGACUCUUUGGUUUCCUCCUCCAGCGGUUCCUAGAGGAGGAAACUCCUCCCUCCCUGCAGGGAUGCAGCGAUGGAAUGGAGGAGGACACGCAGAGAAGGAGGCGGCGUGAAGCCUCUGAUGAGUGUGACCUCCACUGAAAACAGCUGCAGGGGGUCAAACCGGACCUGCAGGGUUUGCUGCAAACAAUGGAAACAAAAGCAUGAAAAAGCUGCUUUCUUCUGUUUGAAAUAGAUCAUAUUUAGAAAUAAAAACCCAAAUCAAGGGAAUUAUCAAUACAGAAAUGAUAGAAUCCCCUCAGAAUGAAGGAUCAGAGCGGUUCUGGUUCUCCAGAAACGGACUUUGAGGCUGUCCAGAACCUCUUUAGCUGCUCAUCUCCACAGAGAUGUUCCAUCAGAACCGACAGAGGACGAUGACAGAACCUCAACCUGGAAUCAGUCGAUGGAAAGGACCGGGUGGUUCUGAGGAGAGAAGAUCUGGACUGAUGAAGGUCCAAACCUUCCUCCUCCCUCCCAGCUGAGAAACUCAGCUUCUAAUGACACUUCAGCGGCCUACAUUUCCCACAAUCCUCAGCGGCACGGUCCAUUGUCAGAUCCUUGCACCACAGACUCCUCCUGCAGGAGCCCUGCUGUCAGCGCGUCUCCUCAGAACACCUGAGGAGCUGCAGAGCGAGGAGACGGCCCCUUUUCUUCCUGGUCGCUCCUAAACCUCAGCAUCUUCAUCUCUGCCUCCUGACUCUCACCACAGUCUUCUUCACCCUUCCUCUGAACACUCUCCUGACCUGCUUUCACAGGGAGGAUUGUUUGCCUCUGAACAGCUGAGAUGACGACUCAUUUCUGCCAUCAGCCUCUAGACCCGCCUCCAGGGGCGGAGCCUCACUGAUCUGAGAGAAGGCCUCCUUCAGAAGAAAACCUUCUGUUUCAGGACAGCAGAGAGCUGAAGCUGUGACCAUGACUGCUGUGGAAACGACACGCACUGUUCCCUGUGUGUGGGUGUGUGUGUGUGCAUGUGUGUGUGUGUGUGUGUGUGGGUGUAUGUGCGUGUGCGUGUUAUUCAGCCACACAAAGCCAGUGUUUGGAUCAGCAUCUCUGCUCUUUGUGCUUCUGGGAAACAACAGGAGCAGCUCUGCAGAUGAUGCAUCAUGUCAGCAAACGAAACAAUGGAUCCUCUGGUGUCCCCCUCUGACCCACACAAACACACCCAGACAAACACACACAAACACACACAGACACACCCACGCAGAAACAUUCUUUGUUUCUGUAAAUGACCAAAACACUGACCUCAUCAAUCUGAGACGUUUCUUUUUCUCUUCUGGAUUCAUCAACGGUCAUCUCUGGUCACACGCCGCAGAAGAACCUCCCACCAUCAACACGCCGACUGUAAAGCAGCGGUUUUCACAUGAUUCAUCCUAAGAAAGCCAUCCCAAGUUCACCUUCGGACAUAACACGUCAAGAGUCGCCACAGACAAUCAGCUUUCACAGAGAGUUUUAUGCCGGAUGCCCUUCCUGACACGACCCUGCAUUGUAUCCGGGCUGGGGACCGGCACAGGGAUUUGAUUGUACUCAAAUAAAUUGAAAAACAUCUUUAGAAUAAACUCAACAAAAAUCUGUCAGAUUUCUAUUCUGAUGUUCUCUUUUUGACUAGAAACAUUAAAAGUUUGUCUCCUUUCAGCUGAUGCCACCUCCAUUCACAGAAGGAAAAUUCCUGUUUCAACAGCACCACCACGCGGCCGCGGCAGAAACUGCAGCUUCUGCAAAUUCAACCCACUGUUGUGACUAUUCUGUACUUUAAACAAGAAGUAAACAUUCAAUUCAUAAGCAGAUGAUUAAAAUAGUAUAAAACA